Molecule: ribosomal RNA, 499 nt
Filed under: uncultured bacterium
Lineage: Bacteria
Description: partial 16S ribosomal RNA
Rfam family: Bacterial small subunit ribosomal RNA
Source: RNAcentral
UUGAACGCUGGCGGCAGGCCUAACACAUGCAAGUCGAGCGGUUGAGAGUAGCUUGCUACUUGAUGCAGCGGCGGACGGGUGAGUAACGCGUGGGAAUCUGCCCAGUAGUGGGGGACAACAGCCGGAAACGGCUGCUAAUACCGCAUACGCCCUACGGGGGAAAGGGGGGGAUCUUCGGACCUCUCGCUAUUGGAUGAGCCCGCGUCGGAUUAGCUAGUUGGUAGGGUAAAGGCCUACCAAGGCUACGAUCCGUAACUGGUCUGAGAGGAUGAUCAGUCACACUGGAACUGAGACACGGUCCAGACUCCUACGGGAGGCAGCAGUGGGGAAUUUUGGACAAUGGGGGAAACCCUGAUCCAGCCAUGCCGCGUGUGUGAGGAAGGCCUUAGGGUUGUAAAGCACUUUCAGUGGGGAGAAAGGUUUGUCACCUAAUACGUGAUGAAAUUGAUGUUACCCACAGAAGAAGCACCGGCUAACUCCGUGCCAGCCGCCGCCGUAA